Molecule: ribosomal RNA, 235 nt
Filed under: uncultured soil bacterium
Lineage: Bacteria
Description: partial 16S ribosomal RNA
Rfam family: Bacterial small subunit ribosomal RNA
Source: RNAcentral
AGGACGAACGCUGGCGGCGUGCUUAACACAUGCAAGUCGAGCGGUAAGGCCUUUCGGGGUACACGAGCGGCGAACGGGUGAGUAACACGUGGGUGAUCUGCCCUGCACUUCGGGAUAAGCCUGGGAAACUGGGUCUAAUACCGGAUAUGACCUCCUAUCGCAUGGUGGGUGGUGGAAAGAUUUAUCGGUGCAGGAGUGGGCCCGCGGCCUAUCAGCUUGUGGUGGGUAUGGCCUA